This 456-nucleotide ribosomal RNA is filed under the name Rothia sp. oral taxon 188. Its description in RNAcentral is "bacterial SSU rRNA". It matches the Rfam family "Bacterial small subunit ribosomal RNA", at positions 28 to 495 of the family's 1533-position model. Lineage: Bacteria; Bacillati; Actinomycetota; Actinomycetes; Micrococcales; Micrococcaceae. The record is from RNAcentral.
GACGAACGCUGGCGGCGUGCUUAACACAUGCAAGUCGAACGAUGAAGCGGUGCUUGCACCGUGGAUUAGUGGCGAACGGGUGAGUAAUACGUGAGUGACCUACCUUUGACUCUGGGAUAAGCCUGGGAAACUGGGUCUAAUACCGGAUACGACCAAUCUCUGCAUGGGGUGUUGGUGGAAAGCGUUAUGGAGUGGUUUUAGAUGGGCUCACGGCCUAUCAGCUUGUUGGUGAGGUAAUGGCUUACCAAGGCGACGACGGGUAGCCGGCCUGAGAGGGUGACCGGCCACACUGGGACUGAGACACGGCCCAGACUCCUACGGGAGGCAGCAGUGGGGAAUAUUGCACAAUGGGCGCAAGCCUGAUGCAGCGACGCCGCGUGAGGGAUGACGGCCUUCGGGUUGUAAACCUCUGUUAGCAUCGAAGAAGCGAAAGUGACGGAGGGCAAAAAAGCGCCG